This 460-nucleotide ribosomal RNA is filed under the name uncultured bacterium. RNAcentral describes it as "partial 16S ribosomal RNA". It matches the Rfam family "Bacterial small subunit ribosomal RNA", at positions 338 to 795 of the family's 1533-position model. The record is from RNAcentral.
CCUACGGUAGGUAGCAGUGAGGAAUAUUGGUCAAUGGACGCAAGUCUGAACCAGCCAUGCCGCGUGCAGGCAGACGGCUCUAUGAGUUGUAAACUGCUUUUGUACGAGGGUAAACGCAGAUACGCGUACCUGUCUGAAAGUCUCGUACGAAUAAGGAUCUGCUAACUCCGUGCCAGCAGCCGCGGUAAUACGGAGGAUUCAAGCGUUAUCCGGAUUUAUUGGGUUUAAAGGGUGCGUAGGCGGUCGGAUAAGUUAGAGGUGAAAUCCCGAGGCUCAACUUCGGAAUUGCCUCUGAUACUGUUCGGCUAGAGAGUAGUUGCGGUAGGCGGAAUGUAUGGUGUAGCGGUGAAAUGCUUAGAGAUCAUACAGAACACCGAUUGCGAAGGCAGCUUACCAAGCUACUUCUGACGUUGAGGCACGAAAGCGUGGGGAGCAAACAGGAUUAGAUACCCCAGUAGUC